UUACAGUUAAACCCAAGCUGGCUAGCCUAUCUUUAGUUGGCAAUCAUCCAUGAAGCAGCAACAAUAUAGUAAAAGACUAAACAUUUCUAACUAUCAAGUGGUAGGUCUCCUAAAAGCUGUAGGUAUAUUUGUUUAAAAAUGCUCUUGUUGUGAUCAUUUAUGUUUUGUGCCUGCAGUAUAUUAGCUCUUGAUCAAAUUAUUCUUCCCACCAUAUGCUCUUAUUUCUAUAUGCUAAUUUAAAGUCACGCAAUGUAGUAAAAUAAAGAUAUUCCCAGGUGUAUAAUUGAUUUGAAAGAAAAACUUUAACAGUGAAAAGAAUUAAAAGUUUAAUAAACAAGUUGGGAUCUAUUAGGACAUAUAUUGGACACUUUACUAUUUACAAAAAUAGAGAUUUUUAUACAAAUAACCAGUUGAAUUUAUUGUUUAUUUUUUUAGGUAUGUCUAAUUAUUUUUAAUUAAGCGAUUAGAAAAAAGAAUAUUUAGAUUAAUUCUUCUACAAAAAAAAAUCAUUAUCUCACUUAUUUUCUGUUCCCAUGUCAUGGGACAGUUGCUUGAAGCCUUUCAUGUUUAACUAGAAGAUGUUAGGUAAUUUUUUUUAAUUUAAAUCAUGGCAAAACAACAUGUACAUGAAAACUACUAUAUUUUAUUUCAAAACAUGUAACACUAUUUUAAUGUUAGGAUGUUCUAAUAUAAAUUUGAUGCAAUGCACUUAUAACACUUUUUUACGAUCAACGGGCUUGAAAUAGCUUACUAGGUUAUUUAAUAUUAUUUUUAGGGGAAAAAAAGAUGCUUGAAAAGUGUAAAUAGAGUAAUUUAUUCCUGUGUACAAAAAUAAGGGUGAUAUUCAAAAUUACAAGAACCAUCAGGGUAUUAGCUGCUUAGUCAUACUCUGGAGGUGUGGGAGAAGGUGGUGGAGCUAAGGGUGAGGAUAAGAGUCUCUAUUUCCGUGAACCAAUUUGGAUUUAUAACCAUUCAUUUUGUUAGGAGAUUGAUGGAACAAUAUAGGAAGAGGAAGAGGCACUUGCAUAUUGUAUAUACCAUCGAUUUAGAAAAGGUUUACAGUAAAGUCCCGAGAGAGGUUAUAUGAAGAUGUUUGGAGGCUAGAAGGGGUAUGUGUGGCCUACAUUAGGGUGAUUAAAGACAUAUAUGAGGGAGCGAAGACAUGUGUGAGGAUAGUGGGAGGGUCUCGGGACCAUUUUUUGGUCAUUAUGAGGUUGCAUCAGGGGUCAGUACUCAGCUCUUUUUUUGUUUACCAUGGUCCAUGGCGAUGGAGUACUGACUUGCCAUAUCUAAAGGGAGGUGUCGUGGUGUAUGUCAUUUACAGACGAUAUUCUUUUUGAUUGACGAGACGCGAGACGGAGUUAAUGCGGUGUUAGAGGUGUGGAGACAAACCUUGGAGUUUAAAGGUUUCAAGUUGAGCAGAAUCAAGACAGAAUACUUGGAGUGUAAGUUUAGUGGUGCUAUUCAAGGAGUGGAAGGGGAAAUGAGAUUGGAUUCACAAGUCAUCCCUGCAGGGGAAGUUUUAAAUACCUUGGGUUUAUUAUACGAGGGGAUGUGGAGAUUUAUGAAGAUCUCACACAUCGUAUUGGGUCAGGAUGGAUGAAAUAAAAUGGAAACCUGCUUCUGGUAUUUUAUGUAAUAAGAAGAUACUACCAAAACUUAAAGGUAUAUUUUAUAGAGCGAUGGUCAAACCGGCUAUGUUGUGUGUGGCUGAGUGUUGGCCAGUCAAGAGCUCUGGCAUCCAGAAGAUAAAGGUAGCAUAGAUGAGGGUGUUGAGAUGGAUGUGCGGUCAUACCCCAUUAGAUAGGAUUCGGAAUGAAGCUAUUCUAGACAAGGUGGGCGUGACUCCUACUGAGGACAAGAAUCGGGAAGCAUGGCUGGUUUGGACAUAUGAGGAGGAGAAGCACAAACUCUCCGGGAAGGAGAUAUGAGAGAUUGACAUUGGAGGGCCUUAGGAGAGGUAGAAGUAGGCAGAAAAAUAGUUGGGAUAAGGUGAUUAGGCAUGCCAUGACACAACUACAGCUGACCGAAGAUAUGACCCCUGAUAUGAAGGUGUGGAGGUCAAAAAUUUGCAUAGUAGGUUAGAUAAUUUAGAUUAUUCGUACCGAUAGUGUUAAUACAUACUCUCACAUUUAGUUGGUAGUAGGCUUUAUUGAAUACCUGUCUUUUUUUUUUUUUUAACAUUUCGAUCAUCUUACUAUCUUGUUGGGUAUGUUGUUUUUACAUGAUUUUUCGGUAUUGUCAUGUCUUGUUUUCUUGUUGUUAUUAUUGUGGACCUAUACUUGCCUGAGCCGAGAGUCUAUUGGAAACAGACUCUCUACCUUCACAAAGUUAGGAAUAAGAUUUGCGUACACACUAUCCUUCUUACAUCUCACUAUACUGUUAUUGUUAUUGUAAUAGUAGUAUCUAUGAAAUUAAAUUUGCACCUCAUUACUUUAAUAUUUUCUUCUCCUCCCAUUUGUAUAAUACAUAAAUCAAAUUAAUAAAGAAAACCCAAUUAAUUAUAAAAUUGAAGGGAAAGAGUAUUGGUAUUGUUGUUUGUUUUUUUCUUUGUUUUUUCUUAAUAAAAGGUUUUAUAUUUGAGCUUUCGGAAUUAUAAAAAAAAAAAAAUCGGAUAGGAAGGUUUUAUAUUCGAGGUUUUACGCGGCAGGAAUUUGGAAGUCUUAAUCCAAAAGCGACUACCACACAUUGGGUUGGUUUUACUCAAUAGUUUAAGAUUUUCGUCUCCUCUCAUUGUAUAACUAGUUUUAGGAUACACGUUUUAUGUAUGUAUCUUAUCUUGGUAGAAUAUAUAAUUUUAAAUAAUAAUAUAAUUAUAAUUAAAUAAAAUAUUUGAGUUACUGAACAAAAAUUAAAAAACGAUAGCUCUUAAUAAUGGAUGUUGAUCCAAUUUAGCUAGUUCACUAAAUAAAGAAAUCUUAUCCAAUAAAAAUCUGGUAUGCUAUAUUCUAAUUUAUGAGAACUUUGGAAAUAUAUUAUGAAAAUUCUUAUUGUUUUGUUACCUAAUACUGAAAAUAAGUAACCGAGUUUUGGUCUGAACCUCGAGUUUUGACCAAGCGAACCGGGAUCGAUUUUUGAUUUUUUGGGAAAAAUAUCAUUUGUUGAUGCUGUUGAGUUAAUUAUGGCUAGAUACAAGCGAAUUAGAAGUGGAAUCUAAAGGGAAAAUGGUAUUUGAGGCUUGAGUUUGACCAUGAAAUCCAAUGUAAGUAUUUGGUCUAACCUUAGCUUGAGGGAAUAGGUGUUGUGUCUUAUUGGCUAUGUGUUAGUGUCGAGUACGACGUAUAGGUGAGGAAACGAGUAUCUAUACGUUGGUGUCAAAGUAUGCCCGUGAGUCUUAUACCAUGAUUGUUGUGAUUUUUAUUAUGUAUUGUUCAUGCUUAAAUAGAUUAUUGUCACCGUAGAACAAGACUUAUGAUAAAUUCCUGGUAAUUGACCAUUGUCGAGUAGUGGUUCAAGUUGAGGUUUUAUUUUGUAAAGUAACUGUUGAAACUAGAUUGGUUAUAGCUGAUUCCCUUGACGGGAUAAUAUUGUUCCUAUUAUUGACUCCCUUGCCGGGACGGUAUUUAUUUUUGUUGUUGAUUCUCUUGUCGGAAUGUUAUUAUUUUUAUUGUUUGGGUGAGAAAAAGUAUAAAGCAGUAAAGGCGAUGCCGUGCAUGAUAGUGUGAGUAGUAAGUGUUAAUGCACGAAGGGUGAUGCCGUGCUGAUAUUGUGAGUGUAAAAGUACAAAGGAUGAUGCUGUGCCACAUUAUUGAGAGUAAAAGCACAAAGGGUGAUGCCAUGCAAUGAUUAUGAUAGAGUAAAAGUACGAAGGGUGAUGCUGUACCAUAUAUGUUAAUUUCCACGGUAAGGAUGAGAAUAAAAGCACGAAGGGUAAUGUCGUGCAUUUGUUACUAUGUUAUAAUUUCCGUUGACAAGCAUGUUCCCCUAUUUUUCGUCUUUAUCUGUUAAAUUCUUGUUAUUAUUGGUUGUAUAUGAUUUAACUGCACAUAUUUAUAUGGUUGCUGUGUUCUUCCCUUGUCACUACUUCGCUGAGCUUAGGCUCGACACUUACCAGUACAUGUGGUAGGUUGUACUGAUAUUGCACUCUUUACUUUCCGUGCAGAUUUCGGUGCUAGACCUCGUGAGUAGAUCAUGGGUUGCUGCCUUCAGUUCACAGGAGACCCGGGAUAGAUCUGCCGAUAUUUGCAGUCCCCGGAGUCCCCUUCUUUAUGUUUUAGUUAUAUUGUCUCUUUUCAUUUCGAGAACAAUUAUAUUUUCUUUCUAAACAAGUACUUGUAGAAAUUCGUAGAUGUUCGUGAAAUUGUGACACCAGAUCAUUG
Molecule: long non-coding RNA, 4319 nt
Filed under: Nicotiana benthamiana
Lineage: Eukaryota; Viridiplantae; Streptophyta; Magnoliopsida; Solanales; Solanaceae
Description: long non-coding RNA (NBEN_LNC042653)
Source: RNAcentral